AUACUCCCUUCGGCAGCACGUAUACUAAAGUUGGAAUGGCACAGGGAAGAUUAGGGUGGCCCCUGUGCAAGGAUGGCAUGCAAAUUCGUGAAGCGUUCCAUAUUUUU
Molecule: small nuclear RNA, 107 nt
Organism: Artibeus jamaicensis (Jamaican fruit-eating bat)
Lineage: Eukaryota; Metazoa; Chordata; Mammalia; Chiroptera; Phyllostomidae
Source: RefSeq, a predicted model, not a curated record